Molecule: small RNA, 280 nt
Filed under: Castor canadensis (American beaver)
Lineage: Eukaryota; Metazoa; Chordata; Mammalia; Rodentia; Castoridae
Description: 7SK RNA (ENSCCNG00000028532.1)
Rfam family: 7SK RNA
About the family: 7SK was discovered as an abundant small nuclear RNA in the mid-70s but a possible function has only recently been suggested.
Source: RNAcentral
GGAUGUGAGGGCGAUCUGGCUGCGACAUCUGUCACCCCAUUGAUCGCCAGGGUUGAUUCGGCUGAUCUGGCUGGCUAGGCGGGUGUCCCCUUCCUCCCUCACCGCUCCAUGUGCGUCCCUCCUGAAGCUGCUCAGUCGAAGAGGACUACCAUCCCCAAUAGAGGAGGACCGUUCUUCGGUCAAGGGUAUACAAGUAGCUGCGCUCCCCUGCUAGAACCUCCAAACAAGCUCUCAAAGAACUAACUUUUUCUUUCAUUGAUUGUAUAGGUUUUUUUUUUUG